UUAAUUAUUUAUUUGAUUUUUUUUAUUUUUUUUUUGUAAAGGUAAUUUUUUUGUUUUAGUAGUUUUUUGUGAAUAUAAUUUUUUUAUCUAUAGUUAAUUUGUACUUAAAAGGUUAAUUAUUUUUUUUAUUAAAAGUGUAUUUAUUUUUGUACCUUUUGUAUCAGGGGUAACUAAUUUAUUUUAAUUUAUUUUAUUUUCUCGAAUAUAAGUGAUUUAAUUAUUAAGUGUUAUUUAAUGUGCAUAAUUAUUAAUAACUUAUUUUUGGUAGUGAUAUGUUAUUCGUCCUUAUUGAUAUCUAGUUCCUUAACAUUAAAUUUAAUUUUUUAUUAAUUAGUUUUUUGUUAUUUAUUUUUUGUUAAAUUAUUUAAUGUUAUUUUAUUGGGGAUAAUCUCAAUAUAUUUGUAAUAACUUUUUUUUUAUUAAUCUUUGUAGGCUUAGAAUUAGCAUUCAUUUAAUUAUGUAAUUAUUUAUUUUAUUAUUUAUUUGAUUUUUUUUAGUUUUAUUUUUUAUUAAGGUUAUUAUUUUAAUAUUUAGUUGAUUUAAUAAUGGUUAUAUUAGUAUAGUAAUUAUUUUUUAUAUAGGAAUUCGGCAAAAUUUAUUUUCACCUGUUUAUCAAAAACAUGGUUUUUAGUAUUUAUGUUAAAGAUCUAAUCUGCUCAAUGAUUAUAUUUUAAUAGCCAUGGUAAAUUGACCAUGCAAAGGUAGCAUAAUAAUUAGUCUUUUAAUUGGAGUCUGGAAUGAAUGAUUGAAUGAGAAAUUUACUUUCUUUAUUAUUUAAUUUGAAUUUAAUUUUUAAGUGAAAAAGCUUAAAUUUUUUUAAGUGACGAUAAGACCCUAUAGAGUUUAAAAUUUUUUUUGUUAUUAUUAUUUUGGUUAGUUUAUAUUUUUUAAUUUUAAUUAAUUUUUUGUUGGGGUGACAGGUAUAAAUUUUUAUAACUUUAUUUUAUUUUUUUCAUUUAUUUAUGUUUAUUUUUGAUCCAUUAUUAUUGAUUAUAAGAAUAAGUUAUCUUAGGGAUAACAGCGUAAUUUUUUUGUAGAGUUCAUAUCGAUAAAAUUUUUGCGACCUCGAUGUUGGAUUAAGAAAAAAUUGGGGGGUAGAUUUUCUUUAUUUAAGUCUGUUCGACUUUUAAAUUCUUACAUGAUCUGAGUUCAGACCGGCGUAAGCCAGGUUGGUUUCUAUCUUUAAAGUUUAUUAAUUAUCUUAGUACGAAAGGACCAGUAUAAUUAGUUGAUAAUUUAAUUAAUUGAAUUUUAUU
This 1256-nucleotide ribosomal RNA is filed under the name Callitettix versicolor. RNAcentral describes it as "large subunit ribosomal RNA". Lineage: Eukaryota; Metazoa; Arthropoda; Insecta; Hemiptera; Cercopidae. The record is from RNAcentral.